Molecule: ribosomal RNA, 433 nt
Filed under: uncultured bacterium
Lineage: Bacteria
Description: partial 16S ribosomal RNA
Rfam family: Bacterial small subunit ribosomal RNA
Source: RNAcentral
AACGAACGCUGGCGGCAUGCCUAACACAUGCAAGUCGAACGAGACCUUCGGGUCUAGUGGCGCACGGGUGCGUAACGCGUGGGAACCUGCCCUUAGGUUCGGAAUAACUCCCCGAAAGGGGUGCUAAUACCGGAUAAUGUCUUCGGACCAAAGAGUUAUCGCCUUUGGAUGGGCCCGCGUUGGAUUAGCUAGUUGGUAGGGUAAAAGCCUACCAAGGCGACGAUCCAUAGCUGGUCUGAGAGGAUGAUCAGCCACACUGGGACUGAGACACGGCCCAGACUCCUACGGGAGGCAGCAGUGGGGAAUAUUAGACAAGGGGCGAAAGCCUGAUCCAGCAAUGCCGCGUGAGUGAUGAAGGCCUUAGGGUUGUAAAGCUCUUUUAACCGGGAUGAUAAUGACAGUACCGGGAGAAUAAGCGCCGGCUAACUCCGUG